AUCUGUAGCCUGGCCUUGCUUUCUCCACCUUCGAUACUGUCUGAACAGUCUCUGGUCAUUUCUCCUGCCUCUUACCCAGGUUGGACCCUGAAUACUUUCAACAUUAUCCCAACUGAACCCCAUUGCAUCUGGGCUAUUUUUCAGCCUUGCUGUUCCCAUGCUAUACUGACGUUGCUUUCUGAAUGACAGAGGAGGGUAAUAAAUGAGAAGAAAAGGCCCCUUGUGCCCCUUCUAUUUCUUCCUAUGUCCUCUCCUUCUGGUAAUCUUCAAGGAGACAGAGUUGGGGGAAACCUUCUCAUUAGGCACUUUUCCCAAGUCAGGAAAGAGUCUGUAACCUAACAAAGGGGCUCAUCUAAAAUGUUCUGCAUUUCACUUACAGUGCAGGAAGACAGACACAUUUAAGGAUACCUGUAAAAAAAACAGGCAAAAAUGAAGCUCCAUUUACAAGGAUCUAGAGGAAAAAGCUAUUUCUAAUCUUUCUUCAUAAAUUCACUGAGGUGUUGACAGAAUGAAAACUGGCAAUGAGAUGUGGAAAGGGAAUGCUGUGGCGAUGAUGGUAUUCUCUCUAAUA
Molecule: long non-coding RNA, 571 nt
Filed under: Homo sapiens (human)
Lineage: Eukaryota; Metazoa; Chordata; Mammalia; Primates; Hominidae
Description: non-protein coding lnc-ARHGAP21-3:1
Source: RNAcentral